Molecule: microRNA precursor, 100 nt
Filed under: Pelobates cultripes (western spadefoot toad)
Lineage: Eukaryota; Metazoa; Chordata; Amphibia; Anura; Pelobatidae
Source: RNAcentral
ACUAGUGACAGAAGGAGGGGGGAGUAGUGACAGAGUGAGGGAGGUGGUGACUAGUGACAGUCACCACCUCCCUCACUCUGUCACUAGUCACCCCUUCCUU